Molecule: RNA transcript, 3747 nt
Organism: Helianthus annuus (common sunflower)
Lineage: Eukaryota; Viridiplantae; Streptophyta; Magnoliopsida; Asterales; Asteraceae
Exons: 14
Source: RefSeq, a predicted model, not a curated record
AUGGAUUUCAUCUAUUCUCCUUCACUUUUGUGAGCGGCAAAAUGUUUUCAUCCAUUCUCCUUCAUUCAUUUGUGAAACAGCUGUGUUCUUCAUAUGGAAACUCCAAUUAAUCAUCAAUCACUUCAAAAUCUUCUACAAAAUUAUGAAUACGUUUCCAUUUCUUUUCCCUUUAUUACCUUCACACGCUCUCUCUCUCUCCGAUUAAACUCCUUUCAGUGUCUUCCAUACCUAUGAAAACCCUAAUUGACAGUCGUAUUUAAUCAAAAUUGUAGUUUCUCAUACCUAUCAAAACCCUAAUUGAAACAUCAAUCAUGAUAGAGGCAGCGAAACCAGGCGGUGGUUGUGUCUAGCGGCGGCAGUGGGUCUAAUGUUGAUGGUGGAGAAGUCACGACAGCAGUGGUUUUGUGGUACUUGAAUCUUCGUCUCAAUCAUUCCCUACGCCAUCUAAUGUUUUACAGAGAUGUUGAAAUAAGAUGCAAAUAGUGGAAAAGUGUCGUCUGAUGUACCUGCUGCACUCAAAGAAUUGAAUGAAUAUGUUGAUGAUUUUACCUUAGCAGAUUCCUCAGUCAGGAUUCAGAGAGGAUAUGAAGAAGAAGCAGGCACGUUUCAAGUAACGCACGCAAAAGUUGAGAAGGAGAUGGCUUCGGUUCAAGUUUUUCACAGAUAAGCACAAGAAAGCUUUGUUUGAAGCUCUAGAGAAGGUCAAAGCUGAGUUGAUGAUUCUGGGGUUCAUCUCACUGAUAUUGACUUUUACUCAGUAUUACAUUGCGGAAAUAUGCAUCCCAGUUGACGUUGCCGAUACAAUGUUGCCAUGUGCUAUAAAAGAUAAAGCGGAGAAAAAAGAAAAAGGAGCCCGUCAAUUGCUUCUAUGGUACGAGCAUGGUAGAUCAUUAGCUGGUGACUCGAAGUCUACCUGCAAGGAGGGGAAAGUGCCGAUUAUAACUGUGAAGGGGCUGCAUCAAUUGCACAUACUCAUAGUCUUUCUAGCGGUCUUACACAUUGCAUACAGUGCUAUUACAAUGGCUUUUGGGAGGUUAAAGACCCGCGGCUGGAAGAUGUGGGAGGAGGAGACAUCCUCGCACGACUAUGAAUUUUCCAAUGAUCCUUCACGAUUCAGGCUUACUCAUGAAACGUCUUUUGUCAGAGCACACACCCGAUUUUGGACUCAAAACCCGAUAUUCUUUUACAUUUUUUUCACAGAUAAGCACAAGAAAGCUUUGUUUGAAGCUCUAGAAAAGGUCAAAGCUGAGUUGAUGAUUCUGGGGUUCAUCUCACUGAUAUUGGCUUUUACUCAAUAUUACAUUGCGGAAAGAUAUGCAUCCCAGUUGAUGUUGCUGUUGCUGAUACAAUGUUGCCAUGUGCUAUAAAAGAUAAAGCGGAGAAAAAAGAAAAAGGAGCCCGUCGAUUGCUUCUAUGGUACGAGCAUGGUAGAUCAUUGGCUGGUGACUCAAAGUCUACCUGCAAGGAGGGGAAAGUGCCGAUUAUAACUGUGAAGUGGCUGCAUCAAUUGCACAUACUCAUAUUCUUUCUGGCGGUCUUACACGUUGCAUACAGUGCUAUUAGCGUGAGUCAAAAUAGUUGGGUCGAGUAAGUCUGCAAAUAUCUUUAUCUUUUCAUUUGAAAUAUUAUUAGCGUGUUAUUUGACUUAAAAACUAUAUUAUAAAAAUAUAACCGAACCCGAACCGAUUCGGUCAUUGGGUUCGAACAACCAACCCUCUGGAAGUAGCAAGUUCAGUUGUCCCUUCAAAUGAGCCACCACCUUUGCUUUCGAAAUGAACAUGUCAUUGUCAAUGUAGGUUUUUUAGUUGAGCACCAAUCCUCUAAAUGUUGCAAACCCACUUGAUCCGACCCGUUUAGACAAUUCUUCUCUUUACUAUACCGUUUCUUUCUUUCUGAGGUUGAAUUACACGUUAUGCUGGUAGCUAAACACGGGAAAAGUUGUAAGUUGGUUUUGUUUUUCACUUAAUAAAAUGGUGUUAUGUUGUUUGGAAGGCUAUUCAUGCAUGGUUAAGCUAUUUGCCAAUCAAAGGAGAUCUUUUUGAGGCUAAAGGUGUUCACGAGAUACUUUGUUCAUUGGUGGAAAGGCAAGUAUGGGCAAUGCUUUUUUUGGUUCUCCUUUACCUCUUUUUGCAUUGCUUCUAACAAACUCUGCUAUCUAUAUCACAAGUUAGACAUGGAACUUUAGGGUCCCAACAACCGAUAUAUGCCAAAAAUUGUUUCUAUAUUUGUUGAGGUUAGUUAUCCUUCAUUAAGAUAGUUUUUUGGUUAGUUAUAUUUUACUCUGGAAUGGGUCGCAUCAAUCUUUGGGGUACCAACUGAAUAAAUAAGAAAGUUUUGGUCUUUCUUAUCACACUAUGAUUUAGUAGUCUAAAAAACUUCAUUAGUAACACCAAGUGUACUUUUCAGGCUCAUGGGUUCAAGACAGUAUUAAUGAUCGGUAGUUGUUUUGUACCAAUUCGACUGAAUGAAUUCAAAUGUAUUAAAGAAUAUACUCCAAAUGAAAACGAAUGGACUUCACCAAAUUGAUGUCGGGUGUCCAUGAAAAAUACCGAUACUAAACCGAACCGUACCUAUUGAAUUUUGCCACCUAUUUUUUGUAUUUUUCGGGAUCGGUGCUUCCGAUUCGGCAAGAAACGGUAUUUUAUCCAAUUUUUUACCUUUGAAUACCGUACUUCGAUGCCGGUACUGGUAAUUAAAGCCAAAAACUAGCAGAUUUUUCAGAAAAAAAAAAACCCAAAAAAUAGCAUACUUUUUCAGCAAAAAAAACGUUAAACAAGUGCAGGUUUUUGUAGCACCCGGUUCGGCCAAGAAAACCACAAUUUUACCGGCAAAAAUACCUCACAAAACGCAGGUUUUUUCUGCGAAAAACCACAAAAAACGCAGUUUGUUUCAACGAAAAGGCAACCAGCAGCGUUGCUGCCGGUUUUUUCGACGAACGUUUUCGACAGACGAAAAUGCGUCGCUGCAGGUUUUUUGGACUGACGAAACAUUGUUUUUUCAGCGAUCUGCAGCCUCCGGUUUUUUUCGAUGAACGAUGCAGUGUGCAGGUAUUUCUGACGAACAACGCAGUCUGUAGCUUUUUGUGCGAAAAACCACAAAAGAACGCAGGUUUCUUUAGCGAAAAAUGCAACCAACAGUAGCGUCGCUGCAGAUUUUUUCAACGAACGUUUUUGAUGGACGAUAUAGCGUGCAGGUUUUUUCAGCGAUCUGUAGGUUUUUUGUUUGGUUUCGGUGAAAACAGCAACAACACAUGACAACACAGUUAUGCAGAGUGUUAGUUGUUACAACUUUUAUCAUCCUUGGAUUUAGCAAUCACCAAUCACCCGACUAUCAGGGAACCCAAUCUGCAAUAUAGUUUUGAUGUUCCAAUUGGGUUAGUUUGACCUCAGAAGUCAAAGUAAGAAGCAGUAUUGAAGUUUAAAUGGGUUAAUUUCAGCAUAUAUAUGGGGAAGUAUGCCAAUUUGGUUAUUUGUUGUUGGAAAAUGUGGAGAGAUUUCAAGGAUGCCUAUUCCUUAAGAUUUUGAAUCUGGUGCUCUUAAAGGAUUUUACUGAGUUGUUGAUCUUUGUGAGGCAAAAAGGUGAAAGGUGGUGAUGGAGGGUCUUGACGUGGUAGGGGUGGUGGGAAAAGUAUGCAUCAUUUAUAAGUUUGGUCAACAUUUAUAAAUAAUAUAAUUUAUUGUGAGACCAUCCGUGUAAUACACGGGUACUUAGACUAGUUUACUCUAUAUAAACACACAAUUUUUACUC